GUUGGAAGGGACCCAGUAGGAUCAUCAGGUCCAAUUCCUGGACUCCACAGAGUAACUUAGUGGAAGUUUUCUGUUGGGUUUUCAGAUUUGUACUCACUGGCAAGAUGUUAAUUGUGUCACUGAGGCUCCUGCACCCAGAAAAGACAGCUGAUUUAUCUGAUGUUUGCAGCAACAAUAAGGGUGGAAGUCUGGGAAACAAAAGAUGUGUAUCAGAGCCCCUCAAGGAGCAAGUUUUUGAAAGCUUUUUUUUCCUGGGGCUGUUCAGGAUUCACCAGAAGAACUCAGAUGUUACCAAACCCAUUCAGAGCUUAGAUGGACAUGGAACAUCACUGGGUCAGUUCUGCAGCUAAAGAUCAGGUUUCUGGGGACUUGUAGAUUUUGGAUGAUGUGGAAUGGCCUUUUAGAUAUACAAACAACAGAGCAAACCCACCCCAAACCUGAACAAAACGUGCACAGAUCAGAAAGAAAAAUAAGUGCACUACCAAAGGAGUCUGGAGGUGGCUGAUUUGUUCAGUUUUAAGUGAUAUGGAAUUCAUGCCUGGCACCUGAAGGCUCUGUGAUUUCAAGCAGGUUUUGCUUUGAGAUUGAAACCAAAAUUGAAAGCAAAAUAUUUGGAUCAAGAAGUGAAAUAUUUCAAAAAAGACUAAAGGAAAUGUCUGUGUAACACUCAGCAAGAGACCCCCACCUGGCUUUUUGCUCAGCCCCCCUGCUAAGCCUCAUGUA
This is a long non-coding RNA of Chiroxiphia lanceolata (lance-tailed manakin), 723 nucleotides long. RefSeq lists it as uncharacterized. The record is from RefSeq and is a predicted model, not a curated record. The transcript has 3 exons. Lineage: Eukaryota; Metazoa; Chordata; Aves; Passeriformes; Pipridae.